AUUGAACGCUGGCGGCAGGCCUAACACAUGCAAGUCGACCGAGUGGCGGACGGGUGAGUAAUGUCUGGGAAACUGCACGAUGGAGGGGGAUAACUACGGGAAACGGUAGCUAAUACCGCAUACCAUCGGAUGUGCCCAGCUGGGAUUAGCUAGUAGGUGGGGUAACGGCUCUCCUAGGCGACGAUCACUAGCUGGUCUGAGAGGACGAACAUCAACACUGGAACUGAGACACGGUCCAGACGCCUACGGGAGGCAGCAGUGGGGAAUAUUGCACAAUGGGCGCAAGCCUGAUGCAGCCAUGCCGCGUGUAUGAAGAAGGCCUUCGGGUUGUAAAGUACUUUCAGCGAGGAGGCGUUACUCGCAGAAGAAGCACCGGCUAACUCCGUGCCAGCAGCCGCGGUAAUAC
This 406-nucleotide ribosomal RNA is filed under the name uncultured bacterium. RNAcentral's name for it is "partial 16S ribosomal RNA". It matches the Rfam family "Bacterial small subunit ribosomal RNA", at positions 30 to 526 of the family's 1533-position model. The record is from RNAcentral.